UUUCUUUUAGAAGACAUUGAAUUUUACAUUGAACUGCAUAAUCUCUUAAUUUGCUAUCCUUUUGCCCUUAGGAAAGUGAUGCAAAAAAUUGAUGCAUUUGAUCCUGUGAGAGGUUUUCAGCUUUCAGGGUUCUGUGAAGGAAGACUACAGUGCUGAGGUGGCAAUACUUCUACAGGCUCUGUGGUGGAGUGAAUGGAGAAGAAAACAAUCAAAUUUCCAAGGAAGAUAUCUUUGGAAAACUCACUCUAUUGGCAAGAAUAUACUGUGGAAUAUGUCAUCAUGGGUAUUCCACACCCAUAUUCCCCUUCUCCAUUUCCCACUUUACAUAUGAAGAACCUGAGAUAUCUGAAAACCUCCUCCUAACAACAAGUAUUUGUAUGAAAAAAAUUAGGAACUUGAUAUUUAGCUUGUUGAAGUCUGGUGGGAAAUGCAAGAAGAUGAAGCAAUAUCUCACAGCUGUGGAAAGAGGAUCACAGGUGUACCUACGUGAUGUCUCAACCUUUUAAAUAAGAAAAAUAAUAUGCUGUGCAUGAAAUAUUGGAACUUGAAUAUUACAGGUAAUUAAAUGUAUAUGUGCGUCUGUUCAUUCAAAAUUUGAUGUAAUUUGUUUUGUAUUUCCAUUUGCUUAAAACAGUUCCUGCUUUCUGUAUGUACUCCUUUAAAACGUGU
Molecule: long non-coding RNA, 669 nt
Filed under: Parus major (Great Tit)
Lineage: Eukaryota; Metazoa; Chordata; Aves; Passeriformes; Paridae
Description: lncRNA (ENSPMJG00000015878.1)
Source: RNAcentral